AUGCCAUCACAUAUUAGUGAUACUCACAUUGCUCUUAUUCCUAAGAAAUUGGUCUCAAAAAUACCUUCUGACUAUCGACCUAUCAGCCUUUGCAAUGUCAUUUAUAAGAUCAUUUCCAAAACCUUGGCCAACAGAUUGAAGCCUCACCUUCCUGACUAUAUUGAUCCUUCCCAACAAGCCUUCAUUAAAGGUAGACACAUAUCCAAUAAUAUCAUCUUAGCCCAAGAGAUCACUCACACUUUUGCCCUUAAAUCUUGGAAACAACAAGCGUUCUUGCUUAAAAUUGAUUUGGCCAAGGCUUUUGAUCGCCUUGAAUGGAACUUCAUAGUCUCUGCUCUUUCUCGCAAAGGGUUGCAUGGUCACUUUAUAAACUUGGUUUAUGCUUGCAUCUCUUCCCCAAGUUUCUCUGUUAUUAUCAAUGGUCAGCCUUUCGCCAACUUUCGUAGUAACAGAGGCUUAAGACAAGGAUGUCCUUUAUCGCCUUAUCUUUUUGUCCUUGCUAUUAAUGAACUUUCUUUAAGCUUACAUGAUGCUAUGGUCCAAAAUUGCUUGUCUGGGAUCUCUCUUGGUCCAGACUGUCCUCCUAUUCACUCCAUGCUUUUUGCUGAUGAUUUGUUGGUCUGUGGCAAUGCUACGGUGAAUGCUACGGUGCAGGAGGCUAAC
RNAcentral lists this ribosomal RNA (663 nucleotides) under Triticum aestivum (bread wheat). RNAcentral describes it as "partial small subunit ribosomal RNA". Lineage: Eukaryota; Viridiplantae; Streptophyta; Magnoliopsida; Poales; Poaceae. The record is from RNAcentral.